CCAUCGAGAGCUUCGCGGCGGACGUGGCGCAUGAAUUGAAGAACCCCCUCACCUCCCUGCGCUCGGCUGUGGAGACCCUGCCGCUCGCCAA
Azorhizobium caulinodans ORS 571 is the source of this 91-nucleotide regulatory RNA element. It matches the Rfam family "Rhodo-rpoB RNA". The record is from Rfam. NCBI's taxonomy places the organism in Bacteria, Pseudomonadati, Pseudomonadota, Alphaproteobacteria, Hyphomicrobiales, Xanthobacteraceae.